This 61-nucleotide long non-coding RNA is filed under the name Meriones unguiculatus (Mongolian gerbil). RNAcentral describes it as "ZEB2 antisense RNA 1 conserved region 2 (ENSMUGG00000010754.1)". It matches the Rfam family "ZEB2 antisense RNA 1 conserved region 2". Lineage: Eukaryota; Metazoa; Chordata; Mammalia; Rodentia; Muridae. The record is from RNAcentral.
CUCAACAAAACUUUUCCUAGGCUAUGUAGUAAAAAGCACCUUUGGUUACCUGAAUAGACAG